GCCGAAGUGGCGGAACUGGCAGACGCACCAUCUUGAGGGGGUGGCGGGUUUCCCGUGGGGGUUCGAAUCCCCCCUUCGGCA
This is a non-coding RNA of Candidatus Schekmanbacteria bacterium GWA2_38_11, 81 nucleotides long. The record is from Rfam. Lineage: Bacteria; Candidatus Schekmaniibacteriota.